Molecule: non-coding RNA, 148 nt
Filed under: Gorilla gorilla gorilla (western lowland gorilla)
Lineage: Eukaryota; Metazoa; Chordata; Mammalia; Primates; Hominidae
Source: Rfam by way of RNAcentral
GCCAGGUGUGGUGGCGCAUGCCUGUAGUCCCAGCUACUCGGGAGGCUGAGGCAGAAGAAUUGCUUGAACCCGGGAGGCAGAGGUUGCAGUGAGCCAAGAUCACACCACUGCACUCCAGCCUGGGUGACAGAGUGAGACUCUGUCUCAA